RNAcentral lists this ribosomal RNA (253 nucleotides) under uncultured bacterium. RNAcentral's name for it is "partial 16S ribosomal RNA". It matches the Rfam family "Bacterial small subunit ribosomal RNA", at positions 524 to 776 of the family's 1533-position model. The record is from RNAcentral.
UACGGAGGGUGCAAGCGUUGUUCGGAAUUACUGGGCGUAAAGGGCGCGUAGGCGGUUCGGUAAGUCCUGUGUGAAAUCCCUCGGCUCAACUGAGGAACUGCACGGGAGACUGCCGGGCUUGAGUUCGGGAGAGGGAAGCGGAAUUCCGGGUGUAGCGGUGAAAUGCGUAGAUAUCCGGAGGAACACCGGUGGCGAAGGCGGCUUCCUGGACCGACACUGACGCUGAGGCGCGAAAGCUAGGGGAGCAAACGGG